AUUGAACGCUGGCGGCAGGCUUAACACAUGCAAGUCGAGCGGGGUGAUGGUGCUUGCACUAUCACUUAGCGGCGGACGGGUGAGUAAUGCUUAGGAAUCUGCCUAUUAGUGGGGGACAACAUCUCGAAAGGGAUGCUAAUACCGCAUACGUCCUACGGGAGAAAGCAGGGGAUCACUUGUGACCUUGCGCUAAUAGAUGAGCCUAAGUCGGAUUAGCUAGUUGGUGGGGUAAAGGCCUACCAAGGCGACGAUCUGUAGCGGGUCUGAGAGGAGGAUCCGCCACACUGGGAGUGAGAGACGGCCCAGACUCCUACGGGAGGCAGCAGUGGGGAAUAUUGGACAAUGGGGGGAACCCUGAUCCAGCCAUGCCGCGUGUGUGAAGAAGGCCUUAUGGUUGUAAAGCACUUUAAGCGAGGAGGAGGCUCUUUUGGUUAAUACCCAAGAUGAGUGGACGUUACUCGCAGAAUAAGCACCGGCUAACUCUGUGCCAGCAGCCGCGGUAA
Molecule: ribosomal RNA, 503 nt
Filed under: uncultured bacterium
Lineage: Bacteria
Description: partial 16S ribosomal RNA
Rfam family: Bacterial small subunit ribosomal RNA
Source: RNAcentral